Molecule: RNA transcript, 2107 nt
Organism: Strigops habroptila (Kakapo)
Lineage: Eukaryota; Metazoa; Chordata; Aves; Psittaciformes; Psittacidae
Gene: LPAR4
Gene name: lysophosphatidic acid receptor 4
Exons: 2
Source: RefSeq, a predicted model, not a curated record
UGGAAGGGAAUACAGCCCCGCGCGAGGGACCCAGCAGAGACCCGGCCGCGGGGCGGGCUCAGGCACUAAUAACACCUCACUGCCCAAUGGAAAGCGUUUCCUAUCGAGACCCCCAAGAGUUCCCCCUGCCCACAGACCCUGCCCAGACAUUGGGCCCAUUCUUGUGUCCCGUUUCCCAAGACAUGAUGGCUGCAGCAUUCAGCAGUUUUGUUUCCUCUCCGAACAAAGGAAGGCAGACAACUGCCAGCCGCUUUGCAUUUUGAAGAUGAACGGGUGAACUUUCACAAAGCCGAGCACGCAGAUCUUCCUUGUGGGACUAGCUCGGCUUGUGCUACACGCACAAAAAAGGAUAAAUGUGGGCUGUCAGGGAGGAAUCGGGCUGAAAUCUGCCGAGCCGUGGGCAUGAUCUCAGCCCCGGCCCCGCUGCCGUGGACAAAAGGACUUGCAACAGAGACAUGGUAGCAAGGUGUGAAGCAACCUUCCUGGAAUGUGUUUCUUCAGGAAGAGAAGAGAUCACUGCCUUAUUUUAUGGAUGUCACUGAAGUAGACUUUGAACUUCUUUGGAAACACGCCACAAACUUGGCAUGGGAAACCACAGCAACAAUCAUACCUGUUUGACAGAUGAUUCCUUUAAGUACAACUUGUAUGGAGCUGUGUACAGCGUGGUCUUCAUCCUUGGUUUGAUUACUAACUGUGCCUCCCUCUUUGUUUUCUGCUUUCGGAUGAAAAUGCGAAGUGAAACAGCCAUUUUCAUGACAAACUUGGCUGUUUCAGAUUUGCUUUUUGUGUUCACAUUGCCUUUUAAAAUUUUUUAUAAUUUCAACAGGCACUGGCCUUUUGGAGAUAGCCUGUGCAAGAUCUCCGGUACAGCAUUUCUCACUAACAUCUAUGGGAGCAUGCUGUUCCUCACCUGCAUUAGUGUUGACCGUUUCCUUGCUAUCGUUUAUCCAUUCCGAUCUCGCACCAUUAGGACCAGGAGAAAUUCUGCCAUAGUCUGUGCUGGUGUUUGGAUACUGGUCCUCAGCGGUGGAAUUUCAGCUUCAUUGUUCUCCACAACCAAUGUUUCCAACACCAGCACAACCUGUUUUGAAGGUUUUUCCAAACGUAUCUGGAAAACCUAUCUGUCUAAGAUCACUAUAUUUAUUGAAGUGGUAGGAUUCAUAAUUCCUUUGCUACUCAACCUUACAUGCUCUUCUUUAGUUCUCAGGACUCUCCGGAAACCUGCCACCUUGUCUCAGAUUGGGACAAACAAAGAGAAAGUAUUGAAAAUGAUCAUUGUGCACGUGGCCAUUUUUGUUGUGUGCUUUGUGCCUUACAAUUCCAUACUCUUCUUGUAUGCUCUUGUGCGUUCCCAAGCAAUAGCAAAUUGCUCCUUGGAGAGGUUUGCGAGGACAAUGUACCCAAUCACACUGUGCAUUGCAACAAUGAACUGCUGCUUUGACCCAUUCAUCUAUUACUUUACAUCAGAAUCCUUCCAGAAGUCCUUCAACAUAAAGACCCAGAUAAAAAUGGAUUCUCUUUUCAAGACUGAGACACCUUUAACAAAGACUGCACUACCAGCACCACAGGAUGAAAUAAGUGACCAGGCUAUUACAAAUGGAGGAGACCCAACAUCUGAAUCGCAUUUCUAGUAAGAUGUUUACACAUUGAGUUCUCCCCCAUUAACUUGUGAUUAAUACCAUGUGUGAAAUAGUUCUUUCAGAAUAUGUGGAUUCACACAUGGUGUGAAUGAAGUUGUUGGGAGAUAACUACACAGGUGGACAAAUCCUUACACUGGGAUGGUCCCAUCACACACAACAGGUGAAUAUGAAAUAUAAGAAAUCCCAAUGGAUCUCCCUUUGGAGAUCAUGGAUAGGUAACAUAUGUGACAGCUGAGGAGGGAACAGAAUAGCUUUUUUAAUCAGAACAUGCCAACAUUUGGCAUUUUUGUCCCCCAGCAGUUACAUGGGACCAGUUGGGAAAUAGAAAAUUUAAUUUUCUUAAUGAUAUCUGCCAAUAUUUCAUGCCUUCUGGAGAUGCGUCAUCAUAUGUUAACACAAUAACUUCACACAAUAUGUAUGUUUGCUUUUAAAGACACAAUAAAAGCUUUUGGCUUUUCCUUAUUUCA